This 69-nucleotide transfer RNA is filed under the name Uranoscopus bicinctus. RNAcentral's name for it is "tRNA-Met". It matches the Rfam family "tRNA". Rfam says of the family: Transfer RNA (tRNA) molecules are approximately 80 nucleotides in length. Their secondary structure includes four short double-helical elements and three loops (D, anti-codon, and T loops). The record is from RNAcentral. Lineage: Eukaryota; Metazoa; Chordata; Actinopteri; Uranoscopiformes; Uranoscopidae.
AGUAGUGUCAGCUAAUAAAGCUACAGGGCCCAUGCCCCUGUGAUGUAGGUUAAAUUCCUAUCCCUAUUA